RNAcentral lists this ribosomal RNA (468 nucleotides) under uncultured bacterium. RNAcentral's name for it is "partial 16S ribosomal RNA". It matches the Rfam family "Bacterial small subunit ribosomal RNA", at positions 28 to 507 of the family's 1533-position model. The record is from RNAcentral.
GACGAACGCCGGCGGCGUGCUUAACACAUGCAAGUCGAACGGAAAGGCCCUGCUUUUGUGGGGUGCUCGAGUGGCGAACGGGUGAGUAACACGUGAGUAACCUGCCCUUGACUUUGGGAUAACUUCAGGAAACUGGGGCUAAUACCGGAUAGGAGCUCCUGCUGCAUGGUGGGGGUUGGAAAGUUUCGGCGGUUGGGGAUGGACUCGCGGCUUAUCAGCUUGUUGGUGGGGUAGUGGCUUACCAAGGCUUUGACGGGUAGCCGGCCUGAGAGGGUGACCGGCCACAUUGGGACUGAGAUACGGCCCAGACUCCUACGGGAGGCAGCAGUGGGGAAUAUUGCACAAUGGGCGGAAGCCUGAUGCAGCAACGCCGCGUGCGGGAUGACGGCCUUCGGGUUGUAAACCGCUUUCGCCUGUGACGAAGCGUGAGUGACGGUAAUGGGUAAAGAAGCACCGGCUAACUACGUG